CCUACGGGGGACAGCAGUGAGGAAUAUUGGUCAAUGGACGAGAGUCUGAACCAGCCAAGUAGCGUGAAGGAUGACUGCCCUACGGGUUGUAAACUUCUUUUAUAUGGGAAUAAAAUGUUCCACGUGUGGGAUUUUGUAUGUACCAUAUGAAUAAGGAUCGGCUAACUCCGUGCCAGCAGCCGCGGUAAUACGGAGGAUCCGAGCGUUAUCCGGAUUUAUUGGGUUUAAAGGGAGCGUAGGUGGAUUGUUAAGUCAGUUGUGAAAGUUUGCGGCUCAACCGUAAAAUUGCAGUUGAAACUGGCAGUCUUGAGUACAGUAGAGGUGGGCGGAAUUCGUGGUGUAGCGGUGAAAUGCUUAGAUAUCACGAAGAACUCCGAUUGCGAAGGCAGUUCACUGGACUGCAACUGACACUGAGGCUCGAAAGUGUGGGUAUCAAACAGGAUUAGAUACCCUUGUAGUC
This 460-nucleotide ribosomal RNA is filed under the name uncultured bacterium. Its description in RNAcentral is "partial 16S ribosomal RNA". It matches the Rfam family "Bacterial small subunit ribosomal RNA", at positions 338 to 795 of the family's 1533-position model. The record is from RNAcentral.